This 492-nucleotide ribosomal RNA is filed under the name uncultured bacterium. RNAcentral describes it as "partial 16S ribosomal RNA". It matches the Rfam family "Bacterial small subunit ribosomal RNA", at positions 29 to 507 of the family's 1533-position model. The record is from RNAcentral.
AGUGAACGCUGGCGGUAGGCCUAACACAUGCAAGUCGAACGGCAGCACAGUAAGAGCUUGCUCUUACGGGUGGCGAGUGGCGGACGGGUGAGGAAUACAUCGGAAUCUACUUUUUCGUGGGGGAUAACGUAGGGAAACUUACGCUAAUACCGCAUACGACCUACGGGUGAAAGCAGGGGAUCUUCGGACCUUGCGCGAUUGAAUGAGCCGAUGUCGGAUUAGCUAGUUGGCGGGGUAAAGGCCCACCAAGGCGACGAUCCGUAGCUGGUCUGAGAGGAUGAUCAGCCACACUGGGACUGAGACACGGUCCAGACUCCUACGGGAGGCAGCAGUGGGGAAUAUUGGACAAUGGGCGCAGGCCUGAUCCAGCCAUACCGCGUGGGUGAAGAAGGCCUUCGGGUUGUAAAGCCCUUUUGUUGGGAAAGAAAAGCAGCAGGUUAAUACCCCGCUGUUCUGACGGUACCCAAAGAAUAAGCACCAGCUAACUUCGUG